CCAAAGGCUCUUUUCAGAGCCACCACUUCUUCAUAUAAGAGUCUAG
Mus musculus (house mouse) is the source of this 46-nucleotide non-coding RNA. NCBI's taxonomy places the organism in Eukaryota, Metazoa, Chordata, Mammalia, Rodentia, Muridae. The record is from Rfam.